This 1263-nucleotide long non-coding RNA is filed under the name Sorghum bicolor (sorghum). Its description in RNAcentral is "long non-coding RNA (SBIC_LNC004357)". Lineage: Eukaryota; Viridiplantae; Streptophyta; Magnoliopsida; Poales; Poaceae. The record is from RNAcentral.
CGGUCCGGGUUGACAGUUCUGAGGUCUAGUGGCUAGAAGGGAGCUUGUUUCACAAUUUUUUUUCCUUCAGAGUUGACCUUUGGUCCCCAGGUUUUUAAUUUCCCUUUCUCUUUUGGUAGAAAAUGUCAGUCUUGGGCUGGUUUUUUUUGAGCAAUCCAGUCUUGGGUUGGUGGUUUCCCAUCUUCAACAUGGCAUCAAAACAGGUGGAAAGAUGAAUAGUUAGAUUCCAGUUUUUUUGGAGAAAUGUUAGAUUUUAGUUCCCUGGUGGAGGAAAGGUACUUUUGCAGCACUAUGCUGAUGAUGGUGCUUCCUUUUGGAAAAGAAAGGGGACAGUAUAUAUAAGGUGUGUUGUUUUUUCCAAUCACAUUAAGAAAAGAAAAGGAGAAGGAUUUGAGUGACGGUGUGUGAUUUCUUCCUUGCUCAAUCUUGUCUGUUCAUUUGUUUUCCUUUGUGCUGUGGCGAAUUUUUUUUUAUUUUUAGCCCAAAUUCAAAACAUAUUUCAAAUUUGAUCCGGUUUCAAUUUUUUUAAAAAGUAGCCCGUUUGGCCCCGCCACCAUGUAUGGCGGGUCAAAUGAACUAUACUCCGCCAUGCAUGGCGGCGGGGUACAGCUGCCACGUGACAUGCAGCACCGGGGCCUACUGAUGUGUACCCCGCCAUGAUCUAUGGCGGGUUAGGCAUACCCCGCCCCCCAUCAUGGCGGGGCAUAUCCAGGCCCAUUCGUCCGUCCGUGUCAGUAGAGGUCACAUCUUCUUGUUGGCCGUGUUUAGUUCCAGGAUGAAAAAAAUUUUACGACACUAUAGCACUUUCGUUUGUUUGUGGUAAUUAUUGUCAACUAUGGACAAAUUAGACUUAAAAUAGUCAUCUCAUAAAUUUCGACCAAAGUGUGCAAUUAGUUUUUAUUUUCAUCUAUGUUUAAUACUUCAUGCACGCGUCUAAAGAUUCAAUGCGACAGAGAAUCUUGAAAAAAAUUGGAUUUUGGGAUAGACGUGGGCUUUGUCUAAAGAUUCAGACCUUGUUUAGUUCUAAAAUUUUUUGAGAAAUCGACAAUGUAACAGUUUCGUUUGUAUUUGAAAAAUAUUGUCCAAUCAUAGAUUAACUAGGCUCAAAAGAUUCAUCUUGUCAAUUCCGACCAACCUGUGCAAUUAGUUUUUAUUGUCGUCUAUAUUUAAUACUUUAUGCAUGUAUCUAAAGAUUCGAUGUGAUGAAGAAUCUAAAAAAUUUUCCAAAACUUUUUAGAACUAAACAAGACCUCACUGGUUGUC